GGUAAUUCUGGAGCUAAUACAUGCAUAAAAGAUUAUACAUUUUUAUGUAUAAUUGCGUAUAUUAGUAUUAAAACCAAGCAUUCUUCGGGAUGUUUUGUGUUGAACCUGAAUAUAUCUGCUGAUCGUAUGGUCUUGUACCGACGAUAUGUCAUUCAAGUGUCUGAUCUAUCAACUUUCUAUAUAAGUAUAUAGUACUUAUAUGGUUUUGACGGAUAACGGAGUAUUAGGGUACGACUCCGGAGAAAAUGCCUGAGAAACGGCGUUUACAUCCAAGGAAGGCAGCAGGCGCGAAAAUUACCCACUCUCAGUUCGAGGAGGUAGUGACGAGAAAUGACAAGAUCUAUUCCUUCGGGGAUGGAUCAUUGGAAUGGUUUGAUUUUAAAAUCAUUAAAGAGUAUCAAUGAGAGGGCAA
This 412-nucleotide ribosomal RNA is filed under the name Panagrolaimus rigidus. RNAcentral describes it as "SSU rRNA". It matches the Rfam family "Eukaryotic small subunit ribosomal RNA", at positions 151 to 558 of the family's 1831-position model. Lineage: Eukaryota; Metazoa; Nematoda; Chromadorea; Rhabditida; Panagrolaimidae. The record is from RNAcentral.